RNAcentral lists this ribosomal RNA (253 nucleotides) under uncultured bacterium. RNAcentral's name for it is "partial 16S ribosomal RNA". It matches the Rfam family "Bacterial small subunit ribosomal RNA", at positions 524 to 776 of the family's 1533-position model. The record is from RNAcentral.
AACGUAGGUGGCGAGCGUUAUCCGGAUUUACUGGGCGUAAAGCGUGUGCAGGCGGGGUGGUAAGUGGUGUAUGAAAUCUCCCAGCUUAACUGGGAGGGGUUAUGCCAGACUGCCAUUCUAGAGUGCGAGAGAGGAACGUGGAAUUCCGGGUGUAGUGGUGAAAUGCGUAGAGAUCCGGAGGAACCCCAGAGGCGAAGGCGGCGUUCUGGCUCGCAACUGACGCUCAGACACGACAGCAUGGGGAGCGAACGGG